GCGCCAUUAGCUCAGUUGGUUAGAGCAGCUGACUCUUAAUCAGCGGGUCCGGGGUUCGAGUCCCUGAUGGCGCAC
RNAcentral lists this transfer RNA (75 nucleotides) under Rarobacter incanus. RNAcentral describes it as "tRNA-Lys". It matches the Rfam family "tRNA". Rfam says of the family: Transfer RNA (tRNA) molecules are approximately 80 nucleotides in length. Their secondary structure includes four short double-helical elements and three loops (D, anti-codon, and T loops). RNAcentral also lists the same sequence under 1 other name. Lineage: Bacteria; Bacillati; Actinomycetota; Actinomycetes; Micrococcales; Rarobacteraceae. The record is from RNAcentral.